Molecule: non-coding RNA, 536 nt
Organism: Cyanistes caeruleus (blue tit)
Lineage: Eukaryota; Metazoa; Chordata; Aves; Passeriformes; Paridae
Source: RefSeq, a predicted model, not a curated record
UACCUGGCUUGAAAUUCAUGACUCCUGCUUAUGGACAGUGUCCUCCCUUCCUUAUAGCUUUUACUUAUUACUUUUUUUAGUAAAUGUAUUAUAGUGGAAGGAAUUACCAUGACAGCUGAGGAUAAAAGUGUCCUUGACAUGAGCUGUGAAAACCUGGGAAGCAGCCCACCUUUCUUACCUCUUCUCUCAUUUGGCUCCUACUGACUGUGGGGAAGAUGAAUAGCGGUGGCUGGUGGCUGUCAGUGUUAUCACUUGGUGCCAGGUGAUACAGUAGUAGGUGAUACGUAACAGGUCUUUCCAACAUAUUUCUUCCUGCAUGAGUAGGAAUCACAUCCAUACCCUGCUCCCAGCGCCAUGGAUUUGUGCCCGAGACCACAGCAGUUCUCAUGUACAUCAGGUCAGGUCAGGAAUUUCCUGAGCUAGAAAACGUAUCCGUGACUUUGGAAAGUGGGCCGUGUGCCCCAGACAAGUGGUUUGUGAUGUGAUUGUCCCAUUCAUUGAGCUGGCACCAAUUUGAGCAUUUUGAUCAAUGUAGA